This is a long non-coding RNA of Grus americana (Whooping crane), 601 nucleotides long. RefSeq lists it as uncharacterized. The transcript is spliced from 3 exons. NCBI's taxonomy places the organism in Eukaryota, Metazoa, Chordata, Aves, Gruiformes, Gruidae. The record is from RefSeq and is a predicted model, not a curated record.
GUGAGCUGCUGGGCUGGGAGCAGUGCCAGGAGAGGAGCCCCGGCUACAUCCACGAGCAGGGCUGCUUCUCCACCUUCGGCAGGACCUUGCAGAAAUACAUCUCUGUCCCUGGGACUUGCAGCUUGGCCGUGCUGGGCAUCGAGAUCUUCGCCAUGUUCUUUGCCUUUUGCCUUUAUUACAACUUCGACUGAGCAGGAAGAAGUGCGGUAGAGGGGAGGCUUUGGAAACAGCGGCAGGCAAAGACACUCUCCAUUUCCUCCCAUACCAGAGCAUGGCUCUGUAGCUCAGCACUGAUUACUUCCUCAGGCAGGCAGGAGCCUUGCCUGCUCCCAUCUGCUCCAGUGGACACAGAAGGAUGGGCCUGGCUUGCUUUUCUGGGAGCAGGAAUGGGACACAGGUUAAAUUCCUUAGAGGCAACUGCAUAGAGCGGGAGUCUGAGCAUCAAACUUGGUGCCACUGCGAUCUGCCAUCAGUCGUCACAAAAUUAAACAGCUCUGGUGACAGGGAGUCCUGCCCACCCUGUGCACCAUGGUCCAAGCUGCAACUGGACUAAAACAGGCUGCUCUAGAAAGUAUUCAGUCUUAACAAUUGACUUUUCCUU